CGACGCUCCCACCCCACUCCUCUUCCCCUCCUCGGGCAGCCCAGUCGUCGUCACGACCGAGGACCAGAGAUGCGGGCGGGGAGCUCGAGGCGGAGGAGCAGCAGCAGCAGCGGCGGCGGCGAGUCGGGGCAAGGCCAGCACCAAGGACCGGAUCUCGCUCCUGUCGCCUCCCGUGGAUGCCCGCGCGGGCCUCCGGCGGAGCUAGGCCCCGCGCUCCUGUUCGUCGGCGCCUGCGCUUGGGAGAAUCAAGGGCUGGCUCGCGCCGACGCGGCGCCGUGGCGAGAUCCGGCCGGGCACUCUCCGGGAUGCGGGGGCUGUCGGUCUUCAUCAGCGACAUUCGCAACUGCCACAACAAGGAGCAGGAGCGCCUCCUCGUUGACAAGGAGCUCGGCAACAUCCGCAACCGCUUCAAGAACGAAAAGAUUGGCAAGGUCGGUGGUGAGAAGUGGAAGUCCCGAGUGAUGCUAGGAGGAAGCAAACUUGCUGAAGCAAACUUGACCGGCAAGAAGGGAUCCCUCGAGCGACGAAUGGGUGCUAUGCGAGCUGUACAAUAAGAAGAACAACUGGGAGAAGGUCAAGGUGGAGCAGGACAUGGCUGUGGAGGCAUGGCCUGGAUGCUCGUCAACCUUGGCCACUUCAUGAUUGCAUACCACUUCUUCCACUGGAAGAAGGGAACUCCAUUCGCUGAUGAUCAGGGGAUGUAUAAUAGAUUGACUUGGUGGGAGCAAAUGGACAACGGCAAGGAGCUUACUCGCAAUAGAAAAUUUCUUGUUGUGGUUCCUGUAGUCCUGUAUGUGUUAUUCUGUUUCAAUUUUAUUAAUACUGCUUUUGGGAGCUUACUGGGCAAGGAACAACAUGGCAGGAUGUAUGCACAAAGAUUGAUUCUGGCUAGUCAGAAAUACUACACUUAUGCAUUAAUUAUGCAAAUAACACGUGUUAGUAACAUCUAGGUCUAACUUGCAUAUUCAUGCCAUUAGACAUGUGUAAGGAUUGGGCAUUGCUCUAUUGCUCUAUUCACACCAUUAUACAUGUGUAAAAAUUGUUCAAUUAACUUCAUUAUCUUUAAUAAUUGAUUAUUUACUUCCAGUUAGUAGUAACUUAAACUUGGCGGCAAACUGGUUAAAUACUUGGCUGUGAUCACGUUUGUGGUUGGUGUGCGAGCAAGCAAAAUCAGAAAUGAUCCCAAUUGAUCAUAUUACUUUUGUGUUUGCUAGAAUUGUCCAUGGACAUUUAAUCUGUUUUGUGUAUAGUAGGUAAAAUAGCAGAGUACACCAAUUACCAUUUUGUCUGCUGACGUACACUUCCAAAGACCUUUUAGCGCGGAGUUCAUAUAGUUACACAGUGCUUUUUGGCUUACAUAUCAUACAGUUAUGCAGUGCUCCCUACACUGUCUGUUUACUAUAUAUAUCAUUCAUGUAUUCUUGGAUAGUACUGACUACAUACCAGGGCGAAUUAACUACAAUUUGCCACAAUUUGCAGCGGCUGUGCUCCACCAGCUAUUUUGUGGUUCUUGUAAUCAGGGGAGUUCCUCCCAAGACAGGGCCCUCCCUCUUCUGCUUCUUCUACUACCUACUAUUGCUGCUGUUGCUGAUUGGUCUAUGCACGUGGGCCCGAGCACAUAACACGGCAGUUGUGGCUGCACGGUUGGCUGAGGCAUCCGCACCGAGAGCCUCCGUGAGCUAUCACUCCGACCAUUAUGCAGGUCACUGACGGAUUACCAAGUUAGGCCAAAAGCCUAAGCUUGGGGGGUACGUAUUUCUCACCGACAUUACUUUCAUGUUCACACAUUUUAUU
This is an RNA transcript of Triticum dicoccoides, 1794 nucleotides long. RefSeq lists it as uncharacterized. The transcript is spliced from 6 exons. The record is from RefSeq and is a predicted model, not a curated record. NCBI's taxonomy places the organism in Eukaryota, Viridiplantae, Streptophyta, Magnoliopsida, Poales, Poaceae.